GGCCGUUUAGCUCAGUUGGUUAGAGCACGGUGUUGAUAACACCGAGGUCAAGGGUUUGGAUCCCCUUAUCGGCCA
Cynocephalus volans (Philippine flying lemur) is the source of this 75-nucleotide non-coding RNA. The record is from the annotation of a RefSeq genome assembly. NCBI's taxonomy places the organism in Eukaryota, Metazoa, Chordata, Mammalia, Dermoptera, Cynocephalidae.